Molecule: ribosomal RNA, 441 nt
Filed under: uncultured bacterium
Lineage: Bacteria
Description: bacterial SSU rRNA
Rfam family: Bacterial small subunit ribosomal RNA
Source: RNAcentral
CUACGGGAGGCAGCAGUGAGGAAUAUUCGGCAAUGGGGGGAACCCUGACCGAGCAACGCCGCGUGGAGGAAGACGGUCUUUGGAUUGUAAACUCCUUUUCUCAGGGAAGAGGGAGGACGGUACCUGAGGAAUCAGUCACGGCUAACUACGUGCCAGCAGCCGCGGUAAUACGUAGGUGGCAAGCGUUAUCCGGAAUUACUGGGCGUAAAGCGCACGCAGGUGGUUGUCUAAGACGGACGUGAAAGCUCCUGGCUUAACUGGGAGAGGUCGUUGGUGACUGGAUGACUUGAGGCGAGGAGAGGGGUGUAGAAUUCCCGGUGUAGUGGUGGAAUGCGUAGAGAUCGGGAGGAAUACCAGUGGCGAAAGCGACACCCUGGCCUUGGCCUGACGCUCAGGUGCGAAAGCGUGGGGAGCGAACGGGAUUAGAAACCCUUGUAGUCC